GACGAACGCUGGCGGCGUGCUUAACACAUGCAAGUCGAACGGAAAGGCCCUGCUUUUGUGGGGUGCUCGAGUGGCGAACGGGUGAGUAACACGUGAGUAACCUGCCCUUGACUUUGGGAUAACUUCAGGAAACUGGGGCUAAUACCGGAUAGGAGCUCCUGCUGCAUGGUGGGGGUUGGAAAGUUUCGGCGGUUGGGGAUGGACUCGCGGCUUAUCAGCUUGUUGGUGGGGUAGUGGCUUACCAAGGCUUUGACGGGUAGCCGGCCUGAGAGGGUGACCGGCCACAUUGGGACUGAGAGACGGCCCAGACUCCGACGGGGGGCAGCAGUGGGGAAUAUUGCACAAUGGGCGGAAGCCUGAUGCAGCAACGCCGCGUGCGGGAUGACGGCCUUCGGGUUGUAAACCGCUUUCGCCUGUGACGAAGCGUGAGUGACGGUAAUGGGUAAAGAAGCACCGGCUAACUACGUG
This 468-nucleotide ribosomal RNA is filed under the name uncultured bacterium. Its description in RNAcentral is "partial 16S ribosomal RNA". It matches the Rfam family "Bacterial small subunit ribosomal RNA", at positions 28 to 507 of the family's 1533-position model. The record is from RNAcentral.